This 127-nucleotide ribosomal RNA is filed under the name uncultured archaeon. RNAcentral's name for it is "partial 16S ribosomal RNA". It matches the Rfam family "Archaeal small subunit ribosomal RNA", at positions 324 to 436 of the family's 1478-position model. The record is from RNAcentral.
CACGGGGCGCAGCAGGCGCGAAACCUCCGCAAUGCACGCAAGUGCGACGGGGGAACCCCAAGUGCCACUCUUAACGGGGUGGCUUCUCGAGAAGUGUAACCCCGCCCAUGAGUGUGAUUGACCCCCC